RNAcentral lists this ribosomal RNA (2093 nucleotides) under metagenome. RNAcentral's name for it is "bacterial LSU rRNA". It matches the Rfam family "Bacterial large subunit ribosomal RNA", at positions 746 to 2925 of the family's 2925-position model. The record is from RNAcentral.
UGAAGUGGGGGUGAAACCCCAUGGAGGACCGAACCGACCCCCGUUGCAAUGGUGGCGGAUGACUUGUGGGUAGCGGUGAAAUUCCAAUCGAACUCGGAGAUAGCUGGUUCUCCCCGAAAUAGCUUUAGGGCUAGCGUUGGCUUAGAUUACCGGAGGUAAAGCACUGAAUGGGCUAGGGGCCGAUAAGGUUACUGAACCCUAUCAAACUCUGAAUGCCGGAUAAUUGAUGGCCAGCAGUCAGUCUACGUGAGAUAAGUCUCGUGGACAAAAGGGAAACAGCCCAGACCCACAGCUAAGGUCCCAAAGAUACGCUAAGUGGAAAACGAUGUGGAGUUGCGAAAACAACCAGGAUGUUGGCUUAGAAGCAGCCACUCAUUAAAAGAGUGCGUAAUAGCUCACUGGUCGAGUGACUCUGCGCGGAAAAUAUAACGGGGCUAAGCGUAACACCGAAGCUUGGGCUGCACAGCAAUGUGCGGGGUAGGGGAGCGUCGAAUAUGGGGUGAAGUCGCAGCGGAAGCAGCGGUGGACUGUAUUCGAGUGAGAAUGCCGGAAUGAGUAGCGAGAAUUAUGUGGGAAUCAUAAUGGCCGAAAAUCUAAGGUUUCCUGGGGAAGGUUCGUCCGCCCAGGGUAAGCCGGGAGCUAAGGCGAGGCCGGAAGGCGUAGUCGAUGCACAUACGGUUGAAAUUCCGUAGCCACCGAACCUUAAGUACACUGACACAUGGAGAUAGCGGGACCCGGGCGUUGGUUGACCCGGGCGUAAGGGACCGAACUUUAGUAGGGAAGUCCGCGAUGCUCUGUGGCGAGAAAAGGUGUAUGGUAUGCUAAGGUGCCCGUACCGCAAACCGACACAGGUAGAUGAGGAGAGAAUCCUAAGGCCAACGGGAGAAGGGUUGUUAAGGAACUCGGCAAAUUGACCCCGUAACUUCGGGAGAAGGGGUGCUCCAGAGAUGGAGCCGCAGAGAAUCGGCCCAAGCAACUGUUUACCAAAAACACAGGUUUGUGCUAAAUCGAAAGAUGACGUAUACGAGCUGACGCCUGCCCGGUGCUGGAAGGUUAAGAGGAGAUGUGCAAGCAUUGAAUCGAAGCCCCAGUGAACGGCGGCCGUAACUAUAACGGUCCUAAGGUAGCGAAAUUCCUUGUCAGGUAAGUUCUGACCCGCAUGAAAGGCGUAAUGAUUUGGGCACUGUCUCAACAGCCCGCCCGGCGAAAUUGUAGUACCGGUGAAGAUGCCGGUUACCCGCGACAAGACGGAAAGACCCCAUGGAGCUUUACUGUAGCCUAAUAUUGGGUUUCGAUGUUGCAUGCACAGGAUAGAUGGGACACAGGGAAACAAUCGCUUUGGCGGUUGCGGAGUGGCCGUUGGGAUACCAUCCUUGCGAUAUUGGAAUUCUAACCUGCGGCUCUGAAUCGAGUCGGGGGACAUUGUUAGGUGGGCAGUUUGACUGGGGCGGUCGCCUCCUAAAAAGUAACGGAGGCGUUCAAAGGUUCGCUCAGCUUGAACGGAAAUCAAGCAAAAGAGUGCAAACGCAGAAGCGAGCCUAACUGCGAGACUGACGGGUCGAGCAGUAACGAAAGUUGGAGUUAGUGAUCCGGCGGUAUGCAAGUGGAAGUGCCGUCGCUCAACGGAUAAAAGCUACCCUGGGGAUAACAGGCUGAUCUCCCCCAAGCGUCCACAGCGACGGGGAGGUUUGGCACCUCGAUGUCGGCUCGUCACAUCCUGGGGCUGAAUUCGGUCCCAAGGGUUCGGCUGUUCGCCGAUUAAAGUGGCACGCGAGCUGGGUUCAGAACGUCGUGAGACAGUUCGGUCCCUAUCUGUUGCGGGCGUAAGAGAUUUGAAGGGAGCUGUCCUUAGUACGAGAGGACCGGGAUGGACGUACCUCUGGUGCACCAGUUGUCCUGCCAAGGGCAUAGCUGGGUAGCUAUGUACGGACGAGAUAAACGCUGAAGGCAUCUAAGCGUGAAACUCCCCCUAAGAUUAGAUCUCUCAUUCGAAAGAAGUAAGGCACGACGUAGACUAUGUCGUUGAUAGGCCGGAGGUGGAAGCACGGUAACGUGUGCAGCUGACCGGUACUAAUAAGCCGAGGGCUUGACCU